AGUGGAUGGGGAGCAACCUAGUUGUGCGUGUGUAAAGGUAGUGCCAAGAAAAGCGAUGAUCAUGUUGAAAAUCAAUUCCCGGUACCCGAAACCGACACAGGUGAGCAAGUAGAGAAUACUAAGGGGCGCGAGGUAACUCUCUCCAAGGAACUCGGCAAAAUGACCCCGUAACUUAGGGAGAAGGGGUGCCACCGAGAGGUGGUCGCAGUGAAGAGGCCCAGGCGACUGUUUAGCAAAAACAUAGGUCUCUGCAAACUCGAAAGAGGAGGUAUAGGGGCUGACGCCUGCCCAGUGCCGGAAGGUUAAAGAAGUUGGUCAGUUUUAGGAUGAAGCUAGCGACUGAAGCCCCGGUGAACGGCGGCCGUAACUAUAACGGUCCUAAGGUAGCGAAAUUCCUUGUCGGGUAAGUUCCGACCCGCACGAAAGGCGUAACGAUCUGGGCGCUGUCUCGGAGAGAGGCUCGGCGAAAUAGGAUUGUCUGUGGAGAUACGGACUACCUGCAUUUGGACAGAAAGACCCUAUGAAGCUUUACUAUAGCUUGGAAUUGUGUUCGGGCUUCCUGUGCGCAGGAUAGGUGGGAGGCGUAGAAGGUAUUCUUGUGGGGAUACUGGAGCCAACGGUGAGAUACCACUCUCAGGAGGCUAGAAUUCUAACUUAAUUAAGGACAGUUUCAGGUGGGUAGUUUGACUGGGGCGGUCGCCUCCAAAAAGGUAACGGAGGCGUACAAAGGUUCCCUCAGACUGGUUGGAAAUCAGUCGAAGAGUGCAAAGGCAGAAGGGAGCUUGACUGCGAGAAGUACAGUUCGAGCAGGGUGGAAACACGGUCUUAGUGAUCCGACGGUGCUGUGUGGAAGGGCCGUCGCUCAACGGAUAAAAGUUACUCUAGGAUAACAGGCUGAUCUCCCCCAAGAGUUCACAUCGACGGGGAGGUUUGGCACCUCGAUGUCGGCUCAUCGCAACCUGGGGCGGAAGUACGUCCCAAGGGUUGGGCUGUUCGCCCAUUAAAGCGGUACGUGAGCUGGGUUCAGAACGUCGUGAGACAGUUCGGUCCAUAUCCGAUGUAGGCGUGAGAAUAUUGAGAGGAGCCUUCCUUAGUACGAGAGGACCGGGAAGGACGCACCGCUGGUGUACCUGUUAUGAUGCCAAUUGUAAACGCAGGGUAGCCAAGUGCGGAGAGGAUAACCGCUGAAAGCAUCUAAGUGGGAAGCCCACCUCAAGAUGAGUAUUCUGGUGUAAGGUCACGGGAAGACGACCCGUAAAUAGGCACGAGGUGGAAGUGCAGAGUUGUAUGAAGCCGAAGUGUACUAAUAGACCGUCGGCUUGACC
This 1325-nucleotide ribosomal RNA is filed under the name metagenome. RNAcentral's name for it is "bacterial LSU rRNA". It matches the Rfam family "Bacterial large subunit ribosomal RNA", at positions 1561 to 2925 of the family's 2925-position model. The record is from RNAcentral.